This 27221-nucleotide long non-coding RNA is filed under the name Brachypodium distachyon (stiff brome). Its description in RNAcentral is "long non-coding RNA (BDIS_LNC004132)". The stretch from base 6107 to 6242 matches the Rfam family "MIR1120/MIR1122 microRNA precursor family". Lineage: Eukaryota; Viridiplantae; Streptophyta; Magnoliopsida; Poales; Poaceae. The record is from RNAcentral.
UGAGUGGUCAGACACUAGAAAAAAAAUAUUUUGGAACUUAUGGAGUAGGAAAUAAUAAAGGUGGGACGGUUGGGAUGGGCCUCCAUCGCUCUCUUGAUGGCAGCCUCAAACUCAGGUGCCUCGUCUUUACGGAUUUAUGCCACCACGCUUGAAUCCAGAGAUGGCGCAGGAAGGGCAGGCCUCCCAGGAUCUCCAAGUCUUCCUCCCCAAUACGAUCAAUUCCGAUGCGCAGUUUCUCAAGGUUGACGAGUCGGGCCAUCCAUGUUGGAACCCGGACUAGUACCGAAGCAAUGACAAGUUCCCGAAGGCUGUACGGAGUAUCAGAUUCCGGGAACCAGUACUCACACUCAAAGAUCCUGCCUACCGUCAGGAGGGCUUGAAUGACCAAAGACUCGAGGCCAGCUUUGCUUAGUUCAGCUAUGGAAGAGACUAUCUUUGCAAAUUUCACAUCCCCAAGUAACGAAUCCGCUUCUUCAAUUUUUUCCAUCAUGUGGAACGUCCAGAAUAUUGUGUCCAGCACCCUUAGCUUUUUCAGCUGGCCAAGCCCUACGAGAAACUCAGUUGACUGUGCAAAAACAUUGAGACCGCGCAGCACUUGUAAUCCUUGCAUGGCUGUGGCUUCAUACAGUACUUUAGAGUUAAUGUCAGUAGAGGCCAACCAUUUGACCUGCCUGAUGGUCGCAGGAAUUUCCAUUAUUUUUUUGUGAUAGAGUAUGUCAAUCUCCAAGUGUGGUGCCCUUGCUACUUGUUCCGGAAGCUUUCUCAGGGCAUCUGCAUUCUUGAACCUCAGGUACUUGAGGUGCAACAAAUUGCCGAUACCCGCAAGGUGAUCAUCUUCCAACUGCGAGCAGUUUUCGUAGUCUAGAACACGCAAGAGUCUGGACUCCGACAGAGAUGGGAUCUUCGCAUUACGCCCAAAAACAUGGAGUGACCGGGCACUAGAUAUAACCAGACCCGCCGGAAUCUCACCAUCGUUCUGCAUAGACAACCGACGAACCUUGAUUCGUGGGUCGGGGUUUACACCAGGCACACCUAUUAUAGUAACAAAGUUCUCCUCAACAGCCCUGGAUACAAUGAAAUCAUGAACUGUGUCAUGAACUCGGCAGCUCUUCACCUCAUGACCGAAUGUCUUGUCUAGCUCUGCCGACUGGAUCAAGCUCCUGUUGAUGAGCUCGUUAAAGCACAUCUCUCCUGACUCAUGCAGUGUAUAACCCUCUUGCUUAUGAAUGAAUCCCUCUGCAAUCCAUCUCCUUAUCAAAUUCUCCUUAUUGAUAGUAUGAUCUUCUGGAAAUAUACUCAGAUACAGUAGACAAGUUUUAAGAUGACGAGGAAGAUCCAGGUAACUAAGAGAUAUUAUGUUUACCAUUACAUCGACGCUAGCAUUUCUUAGUGCACGCCCAAUUGAAUCCUUCACUUGCUCCCAUUUAUCCUUUUUACUUGCCUUGUCAGCCAACAAACCAGCGAUAGCAAUGAUCGCCAAUGGUAAACCAGCACAUUUUUCCAAGAUUUGGCUGGAAAUUUCUUUAAGGUCCAAAGGGCAUUUUUCUUCAGAGUCGAAUAGUCUUCCAUAGAAUAGUUGCCUCGAGUGCACCAUAUUAAGAGGCCUCAUAUUAUAUAUAUGGCCAAUGAAUGAUGAUCGGCAUGACUGAGCGACAACAUUUAUACGAGUGGUGGUGAUUAUUAUACUGCCAGAACCGGUUGUGGGAAAUGCACACUUAAUGACAUCCCAUGUUUCCACCUUCCAUAUAUCAUCAAUUACAAUAAAGUAUCUGCAAAUGAAAAUAAAUAAAUAUCAUGCUUGUUGAACACAAAAGACAGGUACGAAAAGAUGAAACAAUAGUUAACAAAUAGCCGCUCCUUUUCGAAGAAAAGAUAGUAACUCAAUUUUUUUACUCCCUCCGGCCGGAAGUACUUGUCAAAAUAUUACAUGUAUGUAGACGCUUUUUACACGUAGAUACAUCCAUACAUGAGCAAAUUUGAGUCAAGUAAUACCGGUCGGAGGGAGUAACACAUGGUGUAUUAGGUUUGGUUAAGGGUUAGUUGGACCUAUGCCACUCUAUUUCACCUGUUGGAGAUAUGCCAUUACAAAAACUUGACUUGAAGAAAUGCCAAUCUAACUUUCUUAUACCUCUAUCAAUGUCAUUCUGUCCACUUAAGACCAAUAAGUGUUCAUAAAAUACAUGUAUUUCAGCAUGUACAACAGUAUUUAACAUAAUACCCUUUACUUUGGUAGAUAUUUGUACAACCAGUCAAAACUGCGCCAUCAUGAAGAUAACUAUAUACUCCCUCCGUCCCGAAAUCCACGUCACUUAUUUCGAGACGGAGGGAGUACAUUACUUGUACAAACACUUUAACUAAAUAACAAAUGUAUUAAUUGCAACAACGGUAACAAAGUUUAGACAAUUAAGUUUGGAUGCCAUAGCAAGCUCGGACUCAUCAAACAAUAAGCCCACUGAAAAGCCAAUUAAGAAGGAUCUGAAGCAGUACCUUUUGUCGGUGAGGAAAUCCCGAAUCUUGGUGAUAAGUUGCGGCAAGUCUUCCUUGGCAGGAGAAGAGUAUCCCUUGUUCAACUGACUGAAAAUAUUACUCAUAACUCUGACGAUGUCUGGAUUCUAUGAUACGGACAGGAAAGCAUGGCAAUCGAACCCCCCUUUGAGCUCUUGAUACACUCGGUUUGCCAGAGUCGUCUUCCCCAAUCCUCCGGACCCAACGACGGCGACCAGCUUGAUCGGUUUCUGCUGCUGCGUUGGCUCGCCGUUGUCGGCCAACAGCUGGAUCACUUCAUCCUUGGGGCCAUCAAUACCGACCAGCUUGGACGCAUCCUCGAAAAUGGCAAGAGCUCUGCGGUCAAUCUGCAGCCAGCCCGGUUUUAUACCACGUAUCGUCAGAUUGAUCAUUGAUACGGAGUACAUCAAUAAAAAAAAAUUGCUACAUAUAUUGUUUUCCAAAAGAAGGAGCUUUGCCUUGGACUUGUUGGAGACGGAAGCGGAUGUUUCGCCGGAUCUGUACCUGGCAUUCCUCUGGCUCACCAACACGGCCUGCCUCUUCAGAUCCUCGAUGGCCUUGGCGAUUCGGUGUCGAUCCUUGGUCCGGCCCACCAAGCCCUUGAUCUUGCCCAUGAUACCGUGGUCAGAUCCAUCGUCACCGGCGGCGACGCGAGCCAUGAAGUCGUCGAUGCUGUCCUCGGUGUCGUAGGAGAGCUCCCGCACCUCCUUCAUCCAGGCCUUGUCCUGCGGGUCCUCAGGCUCCUCUUCCGACAUCUUCUCCAGGAAGGCGUCCAUGGCGUCGAGCUCGCGGGAGAGCGACUCGAUCUCGCCGCGGAUCCCCUUGAGGCGCUUGUACUCGUCGCCGGCCAGGGUCGCCAGCUUCCCCAGAACGGGUCCCAAGGCCCCCGUCGCCGCGCUCACCAGAAACUCCUCCAUGGCCGCUAAUCAAGGUCAGUGGACAGAGCAGCUUGCUUUUGCGUUUUGUAUGCAGUAAGUAGCUAGUGCAGGAUGAAUGGCUCAGCAAAAAUGCUCUUUUUAUUGGCUCCGCCAGCUAGUGUACUCGCUCGGACGAAUCAGCCCCUCCCACGUUCAUGGAGAUAAUGCUAGUACAGAAUUAUUAUUAUUAUUAUUAUUUAAAGCGAUGCUAGUACAGAAUUGGGUUGGAUUCUGUGUCAAGUUUACUGCAGUCUCUGUAUUUCACCCCGCGCUGUGGACGAGAUUUGGUUAGAACCAGGAGACGAUGCUAGUACAGAAUUUUUCACAGUUUAGAUUGUUUCUUCUUCAACUUCCUCCAUGUACUAUAAAAAGGGCGAUUUGGUUGGACCCAUGAACAAUUCGGGUUCGCUGUUGUGCAUCUAUGGUGUUUGAUGCAAUGCACAUAUGAGCUUUUUCAAGUGUUUCAAGAUGCUAUGAGUUUUUUUUAUUUGAUCCACAGAUGCAUUUUUUAUGUAUAUUUUCAUUCCAAUGAGAGUACGCAGAUUAACAUACAACAACUCAUGCACAAGCCCCAAAUCAAGAUGAGAGAUCAGCCAUACAUAUUAUCUCACCUCUUGUUGGAUAACUAACAUAUAUACUUCUUCCGAUCCAUAAUAAGUGUUUCAGAUUUAGUACAGAUUUGUACUAAAAGAGACACUGAUUAUGUAUCGUACUACGUAUUGGAGUGGUGGUAUGACCGAUUGCAUGUAGAUGACAUCAUCCAUAUUUUUUUCUUACAACUUAACAUACAUAUUAUUGUUGAAGACGCCCUUAGAACGCUCAUACCCGGCAAAAUCAUUCCCAGUAGUUUAAUUCCGAAAUUAUUUCAAGCUAAGAGUAUGCAUCGUCUCACAUGAACCCCACAUGCGUGCCCGGUACCUCGAAAACUCAAUUUUCCGGGUCCAAUGCCUACCAGAGCCACUUGGACCAAUGACACAUCGACACUUAGCCAUACAUGUACAAGUGUGUUAAUGAAUUGUCAAUCAUAUAGACGGUACCAGACCUGUACUCCUCCAAGUAAAAAGGGAGUAUCGAUCAGGUAGCGUUAUUUUGUCCAAUUCACCUCUUUAACAGUUUUUAUUCCUCGUAAUCCAAGUUUAUGAUGUAAAAACAACUAUCUGUAUACUCAAAAACUAUAUUUAUUAGAGCUUUUCUAUAGUACCCCAAAUUAAUAUAAGCCCUCUAUUUUUUCAAUCUAAUGGUUCAGAUUGUCUGUUACUCAAAAACUAUAUUUAUUGAGUUUUCUUAUUUGAUCCACAUAUGCAUACUCUUUGCCAUUUAUUAAUACAUCUUUGUGUUAGAUUAUAACUCUACCACCCUUGUUUUUCGAGUGAUACUCCAUAUAUAUCUAGCUCUGUUAGAAUAUUAGAGGGUAUUGAUUAAUUAAAUUGGACCUGGCCUUAGAUCAAAACAAUGGACGGCUUACAAAUCAUCCAGGGUGCCGUAAAAGUUCUCAGAUUCAAAUUUGGCUGUCUGUAUCAAUAACUACACAGCAUCCGGUGUCCGGCGGUGGCAGCGACGGCGGGCCAGCAGCUGUCCGCCACCACGUCGUAGAUGAUCAGCUAGCCCGUACGUACGAGCGUCGAGGCGCAGCACAGGGUCACUGAGCUAUCUGUAUUAAUUACAAAUCGAUUCAGACACGUUAAUUAAGACGUGGUUCACGCCCUAUGUACUACAGUACAGUACUACGUUUACGUGCACUGCGCUGGAGACCGUCAGUUGGUUAUCUUUCUCUUUCUCUGCCAGCCGACCGUCUUUAAGAACGUGUCUACCAUCGUUACUCAUGGCGAUGGCAGUUGGCAUUUGUUGUAGCAGCUCAGCUUGGGGUAGGAGCUGCAAUUAAUAUUGCUGGGCCAGGACCAUAUAUAUGGUUACAAGAUCAUUCCAGAGUAAAAUCUUUUUAACAGUAUUGGUAAUUAAUGUUAACUUAUGCAAGGCAAAAUCAUUCAAACAGUAAAAUACACCUACUUUGUUAUGGUGGCACGCUGAGAAGUGUAAGCUAUGGUCGUCGUCGAAGUUGCUGAAGAGUAGGUUGUAAUUUUAUUCUCGGAAUGUCUAAGUUAGUCAUAUAAUUGUGAAAAUGUUCAUUCUUGACCUAAUGCAUGCCAUGCUCCGGCUGAGGAGGAUCCCGGGUUGAUGAUCCGGAGCGGCGGCAUGUGAGAAAGAAGAGGAGGAGCCGGAGCCACCGUCCAGGUAGGGGUGCCGUCCAGCCGGUGGUGGAGGUGGAGGAACGCCGCUGUCGAACCGCGGCUCGUUGCCGGUGGCGAUGUGCGCCCAAGCCCGACCGGGGGGGGGGGGGGGGGUGUUGGUUUGCAGGCCUAGAUGUUAUGUACAGUACUGUAUGGGUCUGAUCCAAGAAGACUUUCCCAAAUCCUAGCUAAUCGAUCGACCAAUCUCCUCGUUCUAUUACGUAACUUUCGUGUAUUGCCAACUCUUGACAGAUUGACUUGCCCCGGUCACGCACGCCGCAUCUCCUUCUUCUCUCUUGCUGACCUGCAUCGCCAGACGCCCUGCGCCGUGCCUCUGCAUUCUGCCCAAGCCCAAUUUCGCCGGUUCACCCUCGUCCCUCGCCACCCCCUGUCUCCUGCAUCGCCUGAUCGUCCUGCCCCUGCGUUGCCCCGACAACUGGACAAGCUGAGCCAUCUUUAGUACUCCCUCCAUCUAACAAAAGAUGUCUCAACUUUGUUAAAAUUUGGAUGUAUCUAGACAUGACUUAGUGUAUUGAUGCAUUCGAAUUUAGUUAAAGUUGAGACAUCAUUUGUUGGACGGAGGGAGUAUUUAAUUUUUAUAUAUUUAUGCUAGUCUUUAAUUUGUAAGUUUAUCUAGUCUCGUUAGAUUUCAGAAAUACAAAUCCAUUAUCAUCUAGAAAGUUAAUUGGUUUUUCAACUUUAUCGCUUUAUACGUUGAGAAAAAAUUGAUGGAUGAGAUUGAUACUCAUAGCAUCAGCAACAACUUUGCAUCAAGAAAUUUUAAAAAAAAGAUAAUAUGUAUAAAUUGUUUGACAUAAAUAUAACUUUUGAUGCAUUCUUUGUAUUUGUUGAUGAAUUUUCAUAUGCAUAUAUUUAUUUGUAAGUAUCAUAUUUAUAUUAAGGGCCUGACGUGUUAAUUUCACACCGAAAUCUCAAGACCGGGCCUCAAGGAACCGCCCGGCCGGCUGCUGCAAGAAGACGCCGACCCGGGAUAUUGUUCCGCACCGUCGGUUGCGGCAGAUCGCGGACGGCGCGGCGGUGUGCUCUAACGAAAAGUUUCCGGAGCGGAAAAGUUGCAGAUUAUUAGCCGAGGUCGGUCGUGUCCUGCGGAGGAACCUAUAUGUUGACCCAACACUGUAGUGUCUUUUUGUUUUCAAGCGCGGCGUCGUUGAUUCCCUUGGGCCAGGAAGAAGAGAACAGCGCGUCUUCAGUCAAGACACAGGACGACACGUCCAUAUCGACUGUUUUGCGUGCUCGGGAAGGUGUCUCUGGCUUUGCAGGAUAGACAUAUAUAGAGUGUGAAAAUCAAGAACGCGCUGCAUCGUCUGAAAAUCGGCGCCUCCGCAAAAAAAGCACGCAAAGUACCUACCUACGUCCUGCGGGCAUGUCGUCAGAGUCUAGUGGUAGUAGCUAGUAUAGAUUUUAGACAUUUGACACCCGUGGGCACAGAUCAUCUUCCCUCUCUGCUAAAGCUAUCCAUGAGCAGAAAAGUCAACAUUUUGUCUUGAAAACUUGGUUAAUUGAAACCAAGGACAAACAAACGUAAAUGGACCAUGCUGUAAAAAAAACAAAUAACGUAAAUGGACCAAGAAACGUAGACACUCCAAAUGAGCGUCUCUUGUUUUUAGAUUCAGAUGAAGCACAGAUUAGUGAACAGAAGCCGCGUAGAUAGACGGCCGGGCGGCAGGUUGAAGGUCCAUUGUAAUUAGCGAGAGAACUGGACGCGUACUAGCUAGUGAUCCUAGCUAGUUUUAAUGCAACAUUUCCCACCAACACCUUUCAGUGUGGAGUAUCUCAUACCAAACGGUUCCACUGUGUCUGAAGGAAACCAAGCCACGCAGGCAUGAUCAGCAUCUGCAGGUAAUUAAGUACUUUCCCCUCCUCUAGACUCUAGUCUAGUAAAACGACGGUUGAACACAUUGCUGGCUCACUACCUAUAUAUCCGGACAAUUAAUCCAUGUAUAUAGAGUGGAAUCGAUCGAUUCGGCCACAGGUUUGAUCCAAACAGACAAGAAUAAAUAUUCCUAUGGCAGCAUGAUUUAAAUAAUGCGGCCACUAGCAGUAAUAGUACGUACUCACUCUGAUCCUAAAAUAACUGUGUAUAUUUUCUGGGAGAAAUCGACCUACUUACUCAACAUCGCGUGUGCAAACGAAUUCUUCCGUUGCUCGAAUAUCUGAGAUGAUCAUCAACGACCAUCGCGGAACUCGUCGAUUCGGCAUGGCAUGUACACGAAAGAAGAAUGGAAGCUCUCAUGUUCAUUAGCCAACUCUUUGAAACUAGCAUACUCCUUGGGGUAUAUGUUUCCCAAUACUUCCAUCUCCGAGCCAUUCAAGUGAUAGGCUAGUCCCGUCUGGAACGAUUCGCUCAAGAAGAUAAUCUCUUUAAAUGGGUGGAACCCGAGUAUCUUCGUAUCCCCGUAGAAGUACUCUUUGGCUUUGCGAUCUCCAUCGUCAAGAGAAUUAUCGUUGUUGGAGUUCCAUUCAGACUUUUUUUGGAAUGUCACUUUCUCCAUGUCAUCCAAUAAGCAACAAUCUUCAACCAUGCAUCCGUUUCCAAGUGCGCCAUCAUUGGCAAAGUUCAUAUUGAUAUUUUCCACAACUAUUGCUUUCUCUUUGUCUUCCGAGUAGAUAUCUUCAACCAUGCCUUCGCUCUUAACACCAUCAUGACCGGUGUCCCAGUUCUCAUUGUCUUCCAAGUAGAAAUUUUCAACCACGUCUUCACUUAUAACACCAUCGUGAUCAAUGUCCUGGUUCUCGUUUUCCUCCAAGAAGAAAUUUUCAUCCAUGUCUUCACUUCCAACACCAUCGUACCCAUUGUCCUGCUCCCACUCUAACUUCUCUUGAGCCAUCGUUUUCUUGUCGUCUUCAGGAAAACGAAAUAAGUUAUAGUUAAUAUCUUCUAAAACCCAAGGACCAUGACCGUGAAGCGGGCGGUCUGACAAGUAUGGCUCUAGCAUGGGCUUGAGGUCAUUUUCAUGCUUCAAAAUCCACUCAACCUCACCACAGCACUCCUUAAGGAUCCAAACCCGAAGCCAGCCUUCACAAAUCCAUGUAAAGUACACUCCUUUUUCGGAUCUUCCCAUAUCAAGUUGUAUAUAGCCCUCCUUCCCCCUAGUAUCCACCGGUGUCUUGAUUACACGAUACGAUUAUUGGCAAAGGAUAUCCUGCAUGCAAAAAGUCAAAUUAUUAUGCAAAAGAAGUUUAAUUAUCCAGAAACAUAACCAAUACUACGCACCUCAUGAUAUGAUCAGCCAUGCAAUGUAUAUAAAGCGUCCCUCGCAGAUAGGCGGCAGCGCAACGCGACCAGCCCACCCGCAGCUUCUCAAGGGUCCCGGUGGCGCCCCCUUGUCGGACGAAAGACCUCUCCUCCCAGCGACCCGACCUCGACGAGAACACAUGCAUCUUGCACGGAGACGGCGGCCACUGGAGCCCCUCCAUCCCCAUCGUCACAAGCUUGUCGUGUGCAUCGUCGUCCAUGUCCGUCAGCAUCAAGCACGGGACCAUCAACACCUCGAACUCCGGCGACACCGUCGGAUCGUAGACCAGGAACCGGUCGUAGUACCACACGCCAUGAUUUCUUGGUAGUUCUUCCUUGGCCGGGCUCGCGGGCAGAUCGGUCCACCACCCCGUGGCAGGGUUGACUACCCAUUGAGGAAGCUAGGAGGAGGAGCCCGUUGCAGUGGUGGUCGACGAUGUAGUCGUAGAAAUCGGCGGUGUCGUCGACGCACCAGUGGACGAAGCUGUCUGGGUUGCCGGAGAAUUUGGGUUGGCGCGGCGGAGGAAGUCGGGCCCGGCCAAAGAAGAAGCGUUCCGAUCGGCCGCCAACAUCUUAUAUACUGAGGGGUUCCGAUCGGGCCUCUCCCUCGUGCGGGCUGGGCCUCCAUAAGCCUGUGAAAGAACCGGCCCAUUGUAUUUACUAGUCGCAGUACUGAUUUGUGCCUGUUUGGUGGAUUUUUGGGCCUUUGCGGGCCCUUGGAGGUGGUUACGCACAAAUUAAUGGUCCAUCAAGAAAUCGGCAGCUCAUACUGUCGGUUUUGUUUUUACCGCGCUUAUACUGUCGGGUUAAAAAGAAAGAAAGACGGCAGCUGCUGUCAAAAAAAGAAAAGAGACGGCAGCUUGAUCCAUCGAGCUAUAAAUUUGCACGGUUCAUCCGUGAGUAGCAAAAUUUCACUAGCUACACCGUGACAUGACAAUUAAGAAAAUGACCGUAUUGUUUUUAAAUUCAGACAGGCAGAUCAUAGAUUUACUUACUUUAACUGCCUCCCCGGCCACUUACUACUACUGCUGCCUGAUGCUCCAUUAUUUUGAUCGAGAUGGACGGCCGGCCGAAGGUGAUCAAUUGAAUGGAUAAGCAACAUUUCGCACCAACACUUUUCAGUCCAGAGCGUCACAUCAAACGGUUCCCAUGUCCGCAACUAAUUUAGCCCAUUCAUGAUCAAUAUCUGCAGACUGCAGGUAAGUGCUUUAGAAGAUGCAUGGACCAUCAGUAUUCACAAACCGGCCAAUGGGAGUGCAAGAAGCCAGCGACAGCGAGCUACACUAGUGCAAGAAAGUAAGGUCUGUUUACUUUUUCCUCCUUUGGCUUCAGAGAAUAGACCAAGCGUUAAUCCAAUUACCUGGUCUUGAAUCCUGACAUUUCGAAAACGGACAAUGUUUCUGGCGGACAAUUCAUUUUCGGACAUGAAACAGUCCAGCCUAAAAGUGAUAGUUGCAUUCUUAUGAGUCCAUAACAGACCAGUCCAGCCCCAUCCAUUUCCCAACAAACACUUGAAGCUGACAAGCUGCACUCACAUAACGUUCAGAUUUCAGAUAGGCAUGAAUGCAUAACAUUUCCACCGGCACAUUUCUGUCCGUAGCAUCAACGAGCUUAAGUAAUAACGUAACUUGAGACAGUCACCACAAGUACGAUCGUUUGCACAAAACUAGAAAAGUGGCAAGAAAACAUAUAGGCACUUUCCAGUAUCAGGGUUGAUGUUUAAAGACAAGAAAACAUACAUGAAUGAUUGGAUAUCAGACAACCUCAAGCAAACAAAGAUGUAACAAUGGAAGACAAGGUGAAAUGUUUAAAGACAAACAAAAGAGGACUCAACCACCAUUAAGGUGAUGCACUUUCCUCGGAAUAGUGGAGUGAGUAAAGGUGGGACGGUUGGGAUGGGCCUCCAUCGCUCUCUCGAAGGCGGCCUCAAAAUCAUCGUUUGGGUCGAUUCGACCCCACAGCCGACUAAUGUGGAGGUGGCGUAGGCCAGGCAGGCCUCCCAAGAUCUUCACAUCUUCCCCGACAUGAUUAAUUGGGAGGCGCAGUUUCUCAAGGUUGACGAGUGAGGCCAUCCAUGUUGGAACACCCCAGAGUCCCUUCGCAACAAUGACAAACUCCUGAAGGCCGUAUGCAGAUGGAGGAUCAGAUUCGGGAAACCAAUCCUCCUUCAAUAUCUCGUCUGCUGGCCCGUUGAUGCGAAUUUUCAAAGACUGGAGGCCUGCUUUGCUUAGCUCCGCAAUGGAAGAGACCACCUUCGCUGGCUUCACCGCCCAGUCUUUAUAUUCGAGACCAACGGAGUCGAAUAUUAAGCUCAGCUUCCUUAGGUUUUUCAGCUGGCCAAGCCCCACGAGAAACUCAGUUGACUUUCUAUAAACAUCGAGACGGCCGAGCACUUGUAAUCCUUGCAUGGCUACGUCUUCGUCUGGCACUUCAGCGUCACGAAUGGACAACCAUUCAAGCUGCCAGAUAGUGGAUGGAAUUUCUAUUAUUUUGUUGUAAUCCCGUAUGUCAAUCCCCAACUGUGGUAGCCUUGCUACUUGUUCCGGAAGCUUUGUCAGGCCAUCACCUGCAUAGUUGAACCUCAGGUACUUGAGGUGCAACAAAUUGCCGAUACCUGUAAGGUGACCAUCUUCUAACUGAGAGCAGUCUUCGACCAUCUUCUAACUGAGAGCAGUCUUCGUAGUCUAGAACACGCAACAGUCUGGACUCUGACAGUGAUGGGAUCUUCGCAUUAGGCCCAAAAACAUGGAGUGACCGGGCACUAGAUAUAACCAGACCCGCUGGGAUCUCACCGCCAUUCUGCAGAGACAACCGACGAACCUUAUUCCGUGGAUUAGGAUUUACACCAGGUACACCUAUUAUAGUAACAAAGUUCUCUUCAACAGCCUUGGAUACAAUAAAAUCAAGAACCGUGUCAUGAACUCGACACGGUUGCUGGCUGGAUCAAGCUCCUGUUGAUGAGCUCGUUGAAACACAUCUCUCCUGACUCAUGCAAUGUACAACCAUCUUGCUUAUGAAUGAAACCCUCACCAAUCCAUCUCCUUAUCAAAUUCUCCUUAUCGAUGGUGAAAUCUUCUGGAAAUAUCCUCAGAUACAACAGACAAGUUUUAAGAUGACGAGGAAGAUCCCAGUAACUAAGAGAUAUUAUGUUUACCAUUACACCGUUGCUAGCAUUUCUUAGUGCACGACCAAUUGAAUCCUUCACUCGCUCCCAUGUAUCCUUUUUACUUGCCUUUUCAGCCAACAAACCAGAUAUAGCAAUGAUCGCCAAAGGUAAACCAGCACAUUUUUCCAAGAUUUGACUGGAAAAUUCUUUAAGGUGCGAAGGGCAUUUUUCUUCAGAGCUGAAUAGUCUUCGAUAAAAUAGUUGUCUGGAGUGCACCUCAUCAAGAGGCCUCAUAUUAUGUAUAUGGCCACUGAAUGAUGAACAACAUGACUGAGCGACAAGAUUUAUACGAGUGGUGGUGAUUAUUAUACUGUCAGAAUUGCUUAUGGGAAAUGCAUACUUGAUAUCAUUCCAUGUUUCCACCUUCCAUAUAUCAUCAACUACAAUAAAGUAUCUGCAAACAAAAAUGAAUAAAUGUUAUGCUUAUUGAACACAAAGACGUACCUCUCUUUAUUAAUACGUGGCUUAUUAGGUUUCGCUAAAAAAGGUUUUUGACCAAGAAUUGCUUCGCUAAUAUGUAAUUUAUAUGAUAUAAAACCACCAUUAUCAGUAUGUACUUUUGAAGGCAAAUCUAGAGAUACAAAUUUCAUGUCAUAAAAAUCACAUGUCAACAAAGUAAUUUUUGGUCAAUGCCUUGUCUUGAAGAAACCUAAUACACCACAUAUUAAGAAAAUAAGGGAGUAUACUUUAGUUUGGUACAUUAAAGGGGUCUUACUCUUUUGAGAUGUCCACUCGACUCAAAUUCUAGAGCUAAUAUCAUCGGAAAUAACCUAUGUUUUGCUAAUAUCAUCUCAAACAAUUAAACCUUGCCAACACGACAUACUGUAGAGAAAGAAAAUGCCCCCUCCGAAUGGAACUAUUCCUCCUACCGAGCUUAAUUUGAAUGGUUAGGAAAUUAACACUAAGGAUAACAAUCUCUACAAACUUCAAAAAAAUCACUCAGGAAAAACAACAUACUCCAAUCCAAUUGGAGUGAACAGUUAACAGUCUGAACUACGAUCCAAGGGGAGAAGCAAUGGCCAACUUCAAGUAAAGAGAUCAACGAGCCAGAUUGGAGGGUAUCCAGUAUUUUUUUUCAGACAGUUAACAAUCUAUCUUCUUGUUGUCGUCAGUUUUACCAUUUGAAUAAUGGAUUUUCACCGUAAUGAUUGUUUUCCUUGGUCCCGUUAGCCAUAGCCAGUCAUUUAAGACAAGUAUAGAACCCCAAGGGCUGUGCAGUCUAAUGAAUUAAAAAUAUACUCGUAUAUAUUACUUGUACAAACACUUAAGCUAAUGUAUUAGUUGCAACAACGGUAACUAAGUUUAGCCAAUUAAGUUUGGAUGCCAGAGCAAGCUCGGUCUCAUCAAACAAUAGGUCCACUGAAAAGCCAAUUAAGACGGACCGGAAGCAGUACCUUUUAUUUCUGUCGCUGAGGAAAUCCCAAAUCUUGGUGAUAAGUGUCGGCAAGUCUUCCUUGGCAGCAGCAGAGUAACUCUUGUUCAACUGACUGAAAAUUUUACUCAUAACACUUACAAUGUCUGAAUUCUGCGACACGGACAAGAAAGCAUCGCCAUCGAACCCCCGUUUGAGCUCUUGAUACACUUUGUUCGCCAGAGUCGUCUUCCCCAAUCCUCCGGACCCAACAAUGGCGACCACCUUGGGUGGCUGCUGCUUUGUCUCGCCGUCGUGCCCCAACAGCUGGACCACUUCUUCCUUGGGUCCAUCAAUGCCGACGAGCUUCAACGCAUCUUCAAAAAUGGCAAGAGCUCUGCGGUCAACCUGAAGAACAGGCCCGGUUUUAUGCAUCAAUAAAAAAAAAAUUAAUACUCCCUCUGUUCCAUACUAAUUGGCACGGAUUUAGUACAAGUUGCCAACGGAGGGAGUAGCUAUUUUAUCCAAAAGACGAGCUUUGCAGUCAACCUUGGACUUGUUGGAGACGGAAGCAACAGGCUCGCCAGACCUGUACCUGGCAUUCGUCUGGCUCACCUCGUCGAUCUGUUUCUUCAGAUCCUCGAUGGCCUUGGCGAUUCGGUGGCGAAGCCCUUGAUCUUGCCCAUGAACCCGUCGGGCCUUGCAGCGGAUUCAUCGCCGGCGGCGACGCGAGCCAUGAAGUCGUCGAUGCUGUCCUCGGCUUCGUAGGAGAGCUCCCGCACCUCAUUCAUCCACACCUUGUCCUGCAGGUCAGGCUCCCCCUCCGCCUCCGACAUCUUCUCCAGGAACGCGUCCAUGGCGGCGAGCUCGCGCGAGAGAGAAUCAAUCUCGCCGCGGAUCCCCCUGAGGCGCUUAUACUCGUCGCUGGCCAGGGUCGCCAGCUUCCCCACAACGGCCCCCAAGGCCCCCGUCGCCGCGCUCACCAGAACCUCCUCCAUCGGCGCUAAGGUCAGAGCACAGACCAGUGGCUAGCUGGUGCAGGAUGAAGGGAUGCUCCUUGCUCCUGGCACAAUAAUGUUGCAACUCUUGAUUAGCUAAACUCGGGCACGAGACUCGCACUCGCGGAGUAUACAAUAGAAUUUCUCUGCCAGCUAGCAAGCUAUGCAUGUGCAGCAAAGUGCAUGAUUCCACAUCGGAAGAUGGAAGGAUUUAAUUAAUGUACCUCACGUUCAAUGGAAGAAAUACAGACUGAGAUGCCCUUGUUUCUUCUAAAUUCAGACUGCUCCUCCCAGGAACGAUCGAUACGCAGUAGUAAUUGAGAUGGAUGCACGACACAGAAAGUCAACGAGCGGCCUGCAGGAUAUUCACCCAGAAGUAAAAUUCUUGCAGGAUGGACACGAAGCUCGCCGUCGACGAGCCACCGGAUCUGUCUCGGCUCGGGCUCGAACCCAGCUCGGUCCGGCGCGAGAGCUGGCCCAUGGCUACCGGCGGCGCGGCGAGCAAGGGGGCAGGCAGCAGCACUCAUGGGGGAGCGCGGAGGAGUGACGGCGGUAGGCGGCGGCGGCGUCUUCGGCCUACCGAAGCCCGUCACCCUCAGCGACGGCAAGAAAUCCAGCCUGUUGGCCGCCGCCGCCGUCCGGGCUUCCUUCAUCACCACGAACCAGCGCACCUCGUCUUCCCCCAUCUGACAUCGAUGCCGCCUUCACGCCGACCAUUGCGGUCCCUGCACGGCGGCGGCGCGGCGGGGGUGGCGCCAGAGCGGGCCGUAGUUGGACAUGGCGAAUGGAAGGCGUCGGCGGCGAAUCGAGGCUCGAGUGGACUUCGCUCGCGGCUGGUGUGGACUGUGGAGUAUCUGGUAGCUCAGGCUGGGCCAAGGCCCAAGGCCGACCGUGAGAUUUCGACUGUGGGCCUUAAUUUCCGCGCCGGAGCUCGAAGGUGGAGGCCCACGAAUCGCCGGCAGAGGCGCACGAGAGUAAAUUACAAAAAACCACCUCGUUACGGACUAGAGUUUCACAUGGGUACCGGUUUACGUUUCAGUUGCUAAAAACCACCGGAUUAGCAUAACCCCUCGCUUGCUAGCGUCUAAUCACGUUUCUGACAAGUAUGACCCACCGGUCAGUCCAACAUGACGUCCAUCGUGCCAUUCUCUUCUUCCUCCAUGCACUCCCUCCCUGUUCCCGUCGCAACGGGGGCGAGCAGCGGCGUGCGGCGCGAGCGGAGGAGCGACUGCGCCCAGGGAGCAGCGGCACGAGCGGAGGCAAGCAGCGCACGGGCGAGCGGCGGCCAGCAGCGACGACGCACGGGUGAGCGGUGGGCAGUCCCUGCAGAACCUGCAAUCACCUUCCCCGUUGGAGUUGAGGAUAGAGGCGCACCAGAGAAAGAAUGGACGGGAGAGACGACUCGACAGCGAGUCAAAUAGCCCAUCAGCUGACGUGGCACCAGCUAGGACCUGACAUGUGGGCCCGUCUCGUCAGUUUCGGGAUUAGACGCUAGCAACAGAGUUGUUAAGUAAAUCCGGUGGUUUUUAGUAACUAAAAUGUAAACCGGUACCUAUGUGAAACCCUCGCCAGUAAUGUGGUGGUUUUCGGUAAUUUACUCGGCGCAUGAAUCAACGAUGGCGAGACGAAUCAAAGCCCGAACCGGCGGCGGCCCUAAUUUCCGGGCGGGGGAAUGGACGAAUGGGGCCACGGGAUCGUUUCUUUAUUUCCAUCCCCGUUCGGCACCGGCGGAAUUGGGCCGGGGCCUCCAGGGACGUGCCCGGCGGUGGCCGGAGAUGGCCGCGGCCGGCGAUUUUGGAGGUGGCUGACUAGAUUUGGGGAGAGAGGCCCAUGAAAAAUUAUGAUGGGACUUCAGGCCCAUGUGCGUUUGGGCUUUCCUGGUCAUGAUCAGAAUUGGGCCCUGGCGCUGUAGCUACGUGAACGGUGGUCGCCUACUAAAAAAAACGAACGUUGGUCUCGACUAAGAAAAAAACCGGUGCAACGGGAACGAGGCGACUCGUAUUUAGUCACCUUAUUUUAUAUGACAAGAAAUUCGUGUCAAUUUUGGUUAUUACUGAAACCGAACCGAGAUUUUAUAGGUUAUAACCGAACAUGAACCGCAUUUUAAUACGAAACCGUAUUAACAGUAGUAUAGAAACCGUAUUAACCAGAUCAAAAACCGAAUGCACACCCCCUACAGUGAGCAGUUUUUUUCCGGAAAGGGGAGAAACCUAAUGUGAGCAUUGUGUAUUGUCAUCUCUGUGUGGACGGACUGAGACCUUGAAAAACGAUUAACACAUCCCUAACCUUGUUUGUUAUUAGACACAAAUUAACUGUUGAAAGAGGUUCCUUCUCAACUUGGUUAUCACCCCAGGUCGAUACAACAUGAAAAGCAUGGUAUUCAUGCUUGACGCGUUCCAUCUUUAUUUUGUCAGGGGACAUGUAGCUCUACUGAGCUUGAUGACCAUUUUGUUGCUAUCUUUAUUCGUUAGCUCCAAACCAAGCAAGGAACCAUGCUUCAUGUAAAGGUAAAGGUAAAGGUAAAAGAAAAGGCAAAGCCCCAUGUCCCAUGGCGAAUCAAGUUCCGAGUGCAGCACUGCAGCUUGCUAGAGCAUUGGGAGUCGUUCGUCAUUCUGUUUGCUUGUUUCCUCACCUCUCUUCACUCUUCAUCUCGCCUGCCUGCUACGAGCUUCAACCAACGUAUAUGUGAAUUAAGGUACUUCCUCCGCCGCAUGCAUGCAUGGGUAUUAAGGCAAUUGUUUAUAAUAAAACUUCCUUGCGUAGAAAAUAAUCUCUUGAGGUCCCGUUCAAUACACCCCUCUUCAAACUCGGAAACUCGGAAGGUUACGACGUUUUUUUUAUGAUUUUCCUUAUUCUUUCUCUAGUUCUUUUGCCGCCUACUAUUUUCUUUCUCAUGCCUUCUUUCUCUCUACCAAGGGAUCUGUCGCCUCAAGAAUUGUUUCGGCGAUCCCUCCGGUGAGCCUGUGCGGAAUUGUGUCUACUAUGAUGCUGUAAAAUUUAAUCGCUAUCCGACGGUCAAAUCUCUGGCCAAUUCCAAAAUACCGAGUGUUGUUCGGAUUUCUCGCGGCUGUGCCUGAUAGCACGAGUGUCUGAAUUGUUCGCCGGUUUCCCGCUGAUUCAAGCAUUUUUUCCGGCGAUCCGUUCGGUGGAAUUGUGUGAAAAAAUUUCUACUACCACAACGGGAAAUUUCAGCGCGAUCCAACGGUAGAAUCGCUAGGAAACUUCAAAACACGAGUACUGUUUGGAUUGCUCGCGACCGUGCGGGACAGCACAAACAUGCAACUUGUUCGCAUGUUUUCCGCUGGCUCAAGGAAUGUUUCGCUGAUCCCUUCGGUGGGAUUAUGCGGAAUUGUGUCUACUGAUACAAUAUGAAAUUUCAUUGCGAUCCAACGGUGGAAUCACCCGAAAUCUUCGAAACACCGAGUGUUGUUUUGAUUUCUCGCGCCCCUGCAUGACAGCACGAACAUCCGACUUGUUCGCCUGUUUCCCGCUGGCUCAAGAAAGUUUUCACCGAUCCCUUCGGUGGGACUGUGCGGAAUUGUGUCUACUACUACCUCGUGAAAUUUGGUGACGAUCCAACGGUGAAAUCUCCGAUAAAAUCGAAAACACCGAGUGAUGUUCGGAGCUAGGCGAACAGGAGAGAAGGAAAUAAGUUUAAUGCCCAUCGUGCCCUUUUUUAUGAAGGGGUACGGAGUGAUCUGGACCGUUUUGUGUUUUUCGUAAGAGAAGGGUGGGUGUAUUAAAUCAGAAGUCUAAUUUCUUGGGGUUUGGAUUUUUUUUUAAAGAUCAGAUCGGGAGGAGCAGAUGGGAUUCAUACAUUUUCUUUUGGUCCGUAGAGGAGCUUGAGGAGGGGUAUGCCUCUCUUCUCUAAAAGCGGCCGUUUUGCCAUUUACCAGAAGAUUGUUUAGCAUUUCUCUGUGCUGUGUGCGGGCAGAAGAUUAAAAAUUUUUUAGGCCAGGCAGAAGAUUAAUUACUCCGUAGCAUUUGUAUCCUCUUAUCGAAUUUCAAGCAAGCACUACUUCACUACUUGGCAGGCGCUGCUGCGGAUGGCGCAGGCGCAGAUGGUGGCGCUGAUGGCGGUGAUGGCCGCGAUGUUGAAGCGGCAAAACAAACAGCAAACGCGUCCGCGGGAGGUGAGUUGUUGCUUCUUUCACCAGAUCUUUUAUAUCCAAGUCGAAACAACCCACUGCUUGAUUUUUUUAAACAUGCAGGCAUGCCACAUCAUCACAUAAUUAAUUUGUUCACACCUAUUUGGUGCAAAACUCAUAAUUUUGCACAUGCAUGCAUGUUAUUUCCAUCAAGCUAUUUCAAAUAUGUGAAGAAUGUACAAUUUUAUUAUAUGUUUUCAAAUUUGAAUACUCCUUUUAUGUUAACUAAAAAUUUCCGCAACAACGUGCGGGGUAUCAUCGAGUAUAUGUAGUCAUAUGUACAUUUGUGACGUAUAGUUCUCAAAUACAUCCCUUGAUUUUCUUAAUAAAGCUCUGUAAGUCAUUCUUUACUACUACCUCCGAUCCAUAUUAAUUGUCGAAAUAUUAUAUGUAUCUAGAUUAUUUUUAUGCAUAGAUACAUCCAUAUUUGGACAAAUUUGACACAACUAGCAUGAUGUCUCGCGCAAUUGCGUGGGAAACAUUUUUAAUCAUCUUAAUUUUCUAACCGAUUAUAUGUAUUUUCUAUUAUUCAUACAAUAUGUCGUUAGGAAUAGAUGAUUAAUCAACCCAGAUAUAUAUGUAGAAAAGCAGAACUAAUUGAUAUUAGAACUCUUAGAAGUACUAUGUUUUUAAUUGACUUUAUAUUAAAAUAUAGAACUAAACGUUGAUCAACUUUUGCAUUAGACUGAUUGAUUGUCCGUAGAUUAUAUAACUUAGUAUAGGUACUUGAAGUUCAGAUCGCCUAUUGACCGCUUGUCUUUAACUGAGAUAAUCGAUCAUAUGUGGCGUACGUCACAUUUGUAACAAAAAUUCAAAUUCAAACGUGAAAUUGAUGGAUUGGUUGUUUGCACGGGUAAUCGUGUGUAGUUGAUUAUGUUAGUAGGUUGAAUGUCCGUGAUAGUGAAUCAUAAUGCAAUAUUAAAGUUUUACUUGAUUGCUCUAUCGAUACUCGGAUUAAAGUUUAAAUCAUUUGAGCGAACUAUUAGUAACUCGUCCUUGAAAAAAAAUCACAAUGAAUAGAGCUAGUGUUACUACUAAAUAUUCUCGGGAUUUACGAAUAAAAAGAAAAGAAAAUAAAGCUAAGAGGUCAUAACAUAUUGAUUGCCCAACGGUGUUUACAUUUUGUGUUCGGCACCAUACGGAAAAAUUAUUGUGCUAUUACUAACUACAAUAUCUUUGGUCUAUGUAGGUCUUAAACUACUUUGAUGUCUUUUUGAUAGCCCAUCAAAUAUCAUCCUAUUGAAUCUUGACCGUUAAAUAUCAAAUCAAUAUUUUAUGUAAUUCAGAUGACAUGAGUCAAAGUAGGUGAUAUUAGCUAAUUAAAGUUCAGAACACUUAUCAAUCUCUGGUCUUUAUCCCAUACGACUAAUUAUGCAAAACUAAAGUUCAUAUGAGAAAACUGACGAAUCAAUUUGUUUGCAUUGAUAGAUUACGUGUACGUCAAAUUAUAUUAAAAGGUACAAUAUUCAUGAUAACGAAGAGUUGAAAAUUUUACGUAAUUCUUCUUUCUAUAUUCAGAUACAAAUUUAGAUCAUGCGCUACUCAUUUUAUUUUUUAUAGAGAUAUUUAUAAGUGUUUGCUUGGUAGCAAAUCAUUUAUUCAUAUUUGAUGUUAAGUAGUAGCCGGUCUCGAAAUUAGGGACGCGUGUUGACACGCAGAGUUAUAAAUCUUCAAAUACACGUUAGUAUCUUGUUCUUGAAAAAAUAUAGAUAUGGAUUAUGACUAAUAGACUUAAGUAGCUUAUUAUUUAAUAUUUGCAUGACCUAUGAAGAAAAACAAUAUAUAUAAAAUAAUGUUGAAAUUUGGCACCAUAAAAACAAAUUUAACUUAAUUACCACCGAUUAUAACAUAUUGGGCCUAUUUGGGCAUGAAGUCAUUUUAAUGUUUAUUAUAGCCAAUCAGAUAUAGUUCUAAUUAUCGCUAAUUCUACAAAUUGGGCCUACUUGGGUUUAAAACCACUUUAAUGUUUAGAGAUAGCCCAUCAAACAUACCCCCUCGUUAAAUCUGGACCGUUAGAUGUAAGAUCCAACGGCCAGAAUAAUUGAGGUGAUGUGGAUCAACGUGGAGACUCCCCUCGGUACCCCUCAUAUUGCUUUUUGUAUAUAAUAGAUAGAUUAAUGGACCGUAGAUUAAUAUGGAUCGGUGGGAGUAGUUAAGGUGCCUCACAGACUGCCACCAGUACAAUACUCAUUUAUGAUUACCUGGGUAUAUUUUCUGAAGAUCUGAAAACAAAAUAAACUAUAACUAAUGCAGAGCUUUGAGGCAAACAAUGUUGGAGAGGCCGUCACACGGAUGAUUCCUUAUUUAGAAGAUACAACCCAAGCAAAUCAGGACAUCUACUUUGAUGGAUGGAGUGGACUCGCUGCAUCCAAGGUCCUUAGAGCUAUAGCUCAAGACCCUCCACCAUCUCUCACAAGCAAGUUUGAUAGCAUUAUCCAUGUCGACUGCUCAAGAUGGAAAAAUCGAAGAGCAGUACAAAAGGAAAUUGCACAUAAGCUAGAGCUUCAACAACAAGUAAUGGAUAUCUUUUCCAAACAAGACGAGGAUGAUGAUCUCAAUGGGGUAGAUGAAGGCCAUAGGGUGGAGAUAAGAGAUGUGGGGAGAGCCAUUCAUCAUGCCUUACAAGGACGCAGCUGUUUAGUGGUGUUCCACAAUGGGAGCAACCAGUUGGUAGACUUCAAUGAUUUCGGCAUUCCUAAAUAUACAGAUGCAUGGUCAAACCAUGUUAGUAAGGUACUGUGGACAUUCCGAGGAAGGCUCAACGUAGUUAAGGGAGAUGGGCAAACAAAACCUAAAGUAAAGUCUAUACCAAAAGAGCCCGAUGAAGAACAGUUAACAGAAGGAGUGAACAAUUCACAAAUUUAUCUCUACUCAUAUUUUGGUCCAACCAAAUCUUAUUGGAUGGAUAUGUUACAAGAAGAGGCCAAAGAAAUAGUUCAAUAUACAGAUAGCCUUGAUGCCACGGCAGAAGAAGCUACAAAGUGUUGCUUGUAUCUAUUGUCACUGGCUUGUCAGUACUGUGAAAACAUGGACUACAAUUGGGCUACCCAUGCUUCCAACUAUUGGGUUUGUGAUGGGAUUAUACAAGGAGGUCAGUCUGACAAAGCAUGGAAGGUUGCUGCUUCUCUGCAUCAACAGAUGCGACUGGAAGAUUAUUCACCUGAUAGGAAGCCCCACUUUGAUGACAAAUUGGAGGCUCCCCCGAACCGGUGGGUUUCAGAAGUCGCCAAAGGGCCCACAUAUAGUUAUGAUCGGAAUGUACAUCCAGAGUCAACAUCAUUUUUCUUGACAAGCUGGCGAGAUAGACUCGAUGAACCAUCAAACAUGUUUCAACAGUCGAAGAAUCUUUGUGUACUGAAACUAUAUCAGUGUACCUUCAGCUUUUAUUCACCUCCUUUCUCUUGCUGCCGCAGCUUAAGAUUCCUUGGUUUAGAUCACUGCAAAGAUCAGGGGCAUGAGCAGAAGCAAAAGAGGCCAGCAAUGGAGUUUUUUCAUAGCCUGUGGGUGCUGGACAUAUGCUACACAGAUUGGGGACCAGGAAUAUCCGAAGAGAUAACUGAGCAAAUGGUAUCAAACAUUAGAGAGGUACACAUAAAGAAGGGAAGGAUCUGGCGCCACAAUCUUGCAUGGCGAGAACUGAAAAACCUACACAAGCUUCUUGUAAUUGAGCCUACAAGUCCAUGGGAGACUGGCAAGAAGGACGAGUUCACAGAUAUGUUAAAGUUGGAGCUUCUUGACCUAUCUAAGAAUAGUACGAUGCAAAUUUUGCCAAGCCUAUCAGGGGCAACUGGUCUCAAGAUUCUUGUGCUCGAUGGUUGUGUUGGAUUGGAUCAUGUUGACCAUGAAGAACUUCCUCCAUUACUUGAAUCGUUCAGCCUAGAUGCAAGAGAUAAAGAAGGAGAUGUUAACAAGGAAGCUGCAAUUGCUCGCAUCUCCUUGGUCGGUUGUGCAAGAUUGGUUAACUUCAGAUUGGGUGGGUCAUUGCCAAAACUUGCAGAACUGGAUAUUUCAGCCACAGCAGUCGAAAUUCUUAACCUCCAAAAUCCGGUUGUCCAGGUCCCAAGCCUCCAACAAAUAAUUUUGCUGCGUUGUUUGCAGCUCAAAACCAUAUUGUUGCCAGGAGAGGGUUUGCCGAAGUUGGGAGUAUUUCAGAUUGAUUCGAAUAGUCCCGGACAAAUAAUUUGGCCGUGUAUGUGGGAUGAGUCAUUACUCCCUGGUACUUGCUGCACCUACACUGAUGUUGCUAUUGACAAGGUAGCUGCUGGCCAUGAGCACAACAGUUCCGUGCAGUUUCAACCAUCAGGCUGCCAUUUGGAGAUUGGUGAGGGAAUUGCCUAUAAUAAUAUGGCAAGUGCACAAGGAGUCAGCUCAGUCAUCUCUAUGCUGAACAAGGCUGGGUCAAUGCACAUGCAUGACAACUCUUCCAUCACAACUGCUAUCCCUGAACGCUUGGUGUCUGCAGGAAGGAAGAAAAUUGGUUGGUUUCACCUAAAACAGUGCCAUGUUGCAAGAUGCCCAAUGCUGCACACAAUCUUCCCCUCUCAUUACGAAUUCAAUUGCUUCCAAGAACUGGAGUCAUUUUCGGCAUCUGAUCUGCUGAUGGCCCGCUGCAUUUGGAGCAAAGGAAUGAUCAGUACCCAAGAGGACCUGGCGGCUGGUUCCUUUGUGAAUUUGCGGAGCAUACAACUGCAGUCCUGCCCAAGGCUCACGUUUGUCCUCCCACUGUGGUCAUUCACCUUGCCCAACUUGGAGACCCUCAAGAUUGCGUAUUGUUAUGAUCUAAAGUAUGUAUUCCCGGUGGACCUAGCAGGUAUUGCUGCCAGCCAUGGAAAACGUGUGCUGUUCCAAAAUCUGAAGAGCAUCCACCUGCAGGAGCUCCCCAAGCUGCAAAAGAUAUGUGAGGCCCAGAUGAUUGCUCCCAACCUUGAGACCGUCAAGCUCAGGGGCUGCUGGAGCCUCAGGUGCCUCCCGGCCACUGCCAUCCCACAUGGAGACAGCCGCCCUGUUGUGGACUGCGAGAAGGACUUGUGGGAGAAGCUAGAGUGGGACGGGUUGGAGGCCGGCCACCACCACUCUCUCUUUGUGCCACGCCACUCGUUAUAUUACAAGCAGGUCUUGCCUAGAGUCUCCGUCCUCCGGUGAACUGGCCUGACUUGAUGAGGUACGUAUUCUUCCAAUUUUCUCUUGUUUCAUGUAUGCAUCAUAUAUACAGGGUCUCUAUCUGCUAUGUGCAUCUUUGUUGUCAUUAAAAAUACGAAUAGGGUUGAUCUCCUCAUUCAGGCAUUCAGUUUUUUAUUCUGCUCACGUUUGUCAGUUUUUUAUUCUGUAGGUUUGCUGAUGGCAAGAAGUCGUUGUAUCUCUGUUUUCUACCGCGGCUGUUGCUGACCAAAGUUGAUGGUGUGUUUAUUGAUGUGUUCGGAUGAUGGCUUGGUCUGGUUUGUGUCCAAAUAAUAGGGGCCGAUGUGUCUAGGGUGUGCAUAUCACAGUAAUGGAACCCUGUGUCAGAUUGUUGCUUGCAGAAAAUUGAAGUUUAAUGUUUGUAUCAUUGUAUCAUUGUUUGUACUCCCUCCGUCGCGAACUAAGGGAGUAUCAUUGUGUAGCAGCAUGUUAAUGCUGGCUGAGGAUGGCGUGAUAUGAUCGAAAUGUAUUGUUGACUUUUUCGAUCAAAUAUUCUGGUAAUUUUUCCUUAGUAUACUAUGCAGUUUAUGUUUUUUUCUAGUAACAACUAUGCAGUUUAUGUGUGCAUUCCUCCCCAAUUUUUAUUUUUAUUUUUGACGAAAAGCAGUAGGAUAUGCUUGUUCAUUAUAUUGCAGUUAGGCCGUACGAUACAUUUCCAUCUUCAUCAUAAGAUCAUACGAAAAGCAGUAGGAUAUGCUUGUUCAUCGUAUGAAGCAAACCUACAGAACCGCACACAUUGCUCGGGUUAACCUAGGUAAUAACCGAACCGACGGUGCAUAAACAAGUCACUAAAUGGGGCAAUUUGCGUCAGAAGUUUGCUUAAAUGGAAUAAAUUUAUAGAAAUUCCGCUAGGCAUGCACAAAUUAUACUUCCUCCGUCCAACAAAGGAUGUCUAAAUUUUGACUAAAUUUGAAUGCAUCUAUACACUAAGUCAUGUCUAGAUACAUCCAAAUUUUGACAAACUUGAGACAUUUUUUGUUGGACGGAGGAAGUAGAAAUUCAUAGAUUCCGUGUCAAAAGGUGAAAGUAAACGGUCUGUUUGAUAGGCAUGCAUGCACCUUUCAGUCCGGAGCAUCUCAUAUCAAAUGGUUCCACUGUCUGAAACUAAGCCAAGCAUGAUCGAUAUCUGCAGAUAAGUGCUUACAGAGUAGGUGCAUGGACCAUCACUAUUCACAAACCGGCCAAUGUGGGUGCAAGAAAGUCAAUGAGCUAAUACUAGUGCAAGAAAGUAAAUGGGGCUUAAUUUAUUUGAUGAUAACUUUGUACUGUAAAAUUUACUCCGUCAACACUCUGCAACUUCCCCUCAAUGUAGUCUGUUUAGAUUUUCGGAUUUUCCUCCUGUGGCUGCCGAAAGACCAAGCGUUACUCCAAUAACCUGGCCUAGCAUUUCGAAAACGGACAAUGUUUCUGGUUUUCCAAAAGACUGCUGCUGCACCUAAACAAAGCAGUUUUCUUUUCCUUGCUAGUAUUACAACUCUAACUCAAUGCUUAAUUGGAGAGGCUGAUCCCCACACCACUAGUCCUCCCAAAAUCCAGUACUCCUACUUACAAUGCCAAAAUGCGGAUGUAUCUAUGUGUAAAAAGCGUUUAGAUACAUGUAAUAUUUCGACAAGUAAUUCCGGCCGGAGAGAGCGGUAACAUUGCCAUUACAAACGGACGCAGUUUGUACUAUUCAUUUUCGGACAGGAAACAGUCCAGCCCAAAAGUGAUAGUGGAAUUCUUUUGAGUACAUAACAGCCCCAGUCCAGCCCAAUUCAUUUUCCAACAAACACUUAGCUGACGAGAUGCACUCACGUAACGUUCAGAUUUCAGACAGGCAUGAAUGCAUAACAUUUCCACCGGCACUUUUCAGUCCAGAGGAUCAACGAGCUACCAUCUAGCAGAUUGAAGACAAGACAACUAAUUCAUAUUGCUUAGUUUGUUCCAUGACAGAUUUCUGUGGUAUAGUGGUAUCCCAGAACGAUGUUUUCGGGCACCAUGCGAAGAUCCCGUCACUGUCAGAGUUCAGACUGUCGCGGGUUUUGGACUUUGGAAACUGCAGCCAUUUGAAAGACGAUCAACCAUUUGGACUUUGAUUAUUGCUGAUACCACAAAGAGGGAUAUGAACGGCCAGGCUAACCAUCUUCCUCUUAAGACAAUUCAAUUCAGGGUACACAAUUGACAUGGUGUGUAUCUGCUUCGGAAAUGGAUGCUAUUUUUUUAAUAAGUUAUCCUGUGUUCAGAUUCAAGCAGAGUAGUAGACUUUUGGCCUCUGAAUCAAAGCAUUUUCCUCUUAAGGCGAAGCGAAUAACGCCUCUAAAUUUCAGCCAAAUACCAUAUUCCUCAAAAUUCAAUGGUUCAGAGUUCUUUCAGUAUACACUUGAUGGAUUGCUCUAGCGAUGAAAAGCAUGCAUGUGUUUACUGGUACUAGUCGUACACAUACUCCUACUUGACAGUUAUCUCCUGUAGCUGAAUAACGUAACUUGAGACAAUCACCACAAGUACGCUGUAACUGAUCGUUUGCACACUACAAAUGUGACAAGAAAAACAUAUAGGCACUUUCCAGUUUCAGGGUUGACGUUUGAAGACAAGAAAACAUACAUGAAUGAUUGGAUAUCAGACAACCUCAAGCAAACAAAGAUCUAACAAGACAAGGUGAAAUGUUUAAAGACAAACAAAAGAGGACUCAAUCACCAUUAAGGUGAUGCGAUCCUUUAUCUUACAGUUCGGUGAAAUCCACUUUCCUCGGAAUAGUGGAGUGAGUAAAGGUGGGACGGUUGGGAUGGGCCUCCAUCGCUCUCUCGAAGGCAGCCUCAAAAUCAUCGUUUGGGUCAAUUUGACCCCACAGCCGACUAAUGUGGAGGUGGCGUAGGCCAGGCAGGCCUCUCAAGAUCUUCAGGUCUUCCUCCCCGACACGAUCCAUUGGGAUGCGCAGUUUCUCAAGGUUGACUAGUGAGGACAUCCAUGUUGGAACACCCCAGAGUCGCUUGGCAACAAUGACAAACUCCUGAAGGCCGUAUGCAGAUGGAGGAUCAGAUUCGGGAAACCAAUCCUCCUUCAAUAUCUCGUCUGCUGGCCCGUUGAUGCGAAUUUUCAAAGACUGGAGGCCUGCUUUGCUUAGCUCGGCAAUGGAAGAGACCACCUUCGCUGGCUUCACCGCCCAGUCUUUAUAUUUGAGACCAACGGAGUCGAAUAUUAAGCUCAGCUUCCUUAGGUUUUUCAGCUGGCCAAGCCCCACGAGAAACUCAGUUGACUUUCUAUAAACAUCGAGACGGCCGAGCACUUGUAAUCCUUGCAUGUCUAAGACUUCAUCUGGCACUUCAGCGUCACGAAUGGACAACCAUUCAAGCUGCCAGAUAGUGGAUGGAAUUUCUAUUAUUUUGUUGUAAUCCCGUAUGUCAAUCCCCAACUGUGGUAGCCUUGCUACUUGUUCCGGAAGCUUUGUCAGGCCAUCACCUGCAUAGUUGAACCUCAGGUACUUGAGGUGCAACAAAU